CAAAUACUCCCUCCGUCCGGAAUUACUCGUCACGGAAAUGGAUAAAAAUAGAUGUAUCUAGAACUAAAUAACGUAUAGAUACAUCCAUUUCUUCGACAAGUAAUUUCGGACGGAGAGUAGUUA
Molecule: non-coding RNA, 123 nt
Organism: Triticum aestivum (bread wheat)
Lineage: Eukaryota; Viridiplantae; Streptophyta; Magnoliopsida; Poales; Poaceae
Source: Rfam